AAGUAAAGUCGUAACAAGGUUCCGUAGGUGAACCUGCGGAAGGAUCAUUAUCGUAGGGGCCUCGCCCCCUUCGAGAUAGCACCCUUUGUUUAUGAGCACCUCUCGUUUCCUCGGCAGGCUCGCCUGCCAACGGGGACCCACCACAAACCCAUAUGCAGUACAAGAAGUACACGUCUGAACAAAACAAAACAAACUAUUUACAACUUUCAACAACGGAUCUCUUGGUUCUGGCAUCGAUGAAGAACGCAGCGAAAUGCGAUAAGUAGUGUGAAUUGCAGAAUUCAGUGAAUCAUCGAAUCUUGAACGCACAUUGCGCCCUUUGGUAUUCCUUAGGGCAUGCCUGUUCGAGCGUCAUUUCAACCCUCAAGCCUAGCUUGGUGUUGGGCGUCUGUCCCGCCUCCGCGCGCCUGGACUCGCCUCAAAAGCAUUGGCGGCCGGUUCCCAGCAGGCCACGAGCGCAGCAGAGCAAGCGCUGAAGUGGCUGCGGGUCGGCGCACCAUGAGCCCCCACACCAGAAUUUUGACUCGGAUCAGGUAGGGAUACCCGCUGAACUUAAGCAUAUCAAUAAGCGGAGGA
RNAcentral lists this ribosomal RNA (576 nucleotides) under Corynespora cassiicola. Its description in RNAcentral is "eukaryotic LSU rRNA". The stretch from base 202 to 354 matches the Rfam family "5.8S ribosomal RNA". The record is from RNAcentral. Lineage: Eukaryota; Fungi; Ascomycota; Dothideomycetes; Pleosporales; Corynesporascaceae.